GUUCUGACUUCCUGUGACAGGAUGGAGACAGAUUAUCACUUCCUGUGACAGGAUGGAGACAGAUUAUCACUUCCUGUGACUGGAUGGGGACAGAUUCUCACUUCCUGUGACAGGAUGGGGACAGGUUCUCACUUCCUGUGACAGGAUGGGGACAGGUUCUCACUUCCUGUGACAGGAUGGGGACAGGUUCUCACUUCCUGUGACAGGAUGGGGACAGGUUCUCACUUCCUGUGACAGGAUGGGGACAGGUUCUCACUUCCUGUGACAGGAUGGGGACAGGUUCUCACUUCCUGUGACAGGAUGGGGACAGGUUCUCACUUCCUGUGACAGGAUGGGGACAGGUUCUCACUUCCUGUGACAGGAUGGGGACAGGUUCUCACUUCCUGUGACAGGAUGGGGACAGGUUCUCACUUCCUGUGACAGGAUGGGGACAGGUUCUCACUUCCUGUGACAGGAUGGGGACAGAUUCUCCCUUCCUGUGACAGGAUGGGGACAGGUUAAAGCUUCCUGUGACAAGAUGGGGACAGAUUCUCACUUCCUGUGACAGGAUGGGGACAGGUUAAAGCUUCCUAUGACAGGAUGGGGACAGAUUCUCACUUCCUGUGACAGGAUGGGGACAGAUUCUCAAUUCCUGUGACAGGAUGGGAACAGGUUCUGACUUCCUGUGACUGGAUGGAGACAGAUUCUCACUUCCUGUGACAGGAUGGGGACAGAUUCUCACUUCCUGUGACAGGAUGGAGACAGAUUCUCACUUCCUGUGACACAAUGGGGACAGAUUCUCACUUCCUAUGACAGGAUGGGGACAGGUAAAAGCUUCCUGUGACAGGAUGGGGACAGGUUCUCAUUUCCUGUGACUGGAUGAAGACAGGUUAAAGCUUCCCGUGACAAGAUGGGGACAGGUUAAAGCUUCCUGUGACUGGAUGGAGACAGGUUAAAGCUUCCUGUGACAGGAUGGGGACAGGUAAAAGCUUCCUGUGACAGGAUGGGAACAGGUUCUGACUUUCUGUGACAAGAUGGGGACCGGUUCUGACUUCCUGUGACAGGAUGGGGACAGGUUAAAGCUUCC
This is a long non-coding RNA of Myotis brandtii (Brandt's bat), 1066 nucleotides long. RefSeq lists it as uncharacterized. Lineage: Eukaryota; Metazoa; Chordata; Mammalia; Chiroptera; Vespertilionidae. The record is from RefSeq and is a predicted model, not a curated record. The transcript has 3 exons.